CAUUUGGAAGCUGGUUGCCACAAGUGCCCAAAACAGUACCUGGUACUCAAUAAGUACUUAUUCAUUAGCGGCUGCUAUUAGUCUCUCAAUGGUCACAGACUAGCUGGGAAGACAAGAUUUGAUGUGAAAAUAUGAGACAGCUUGGCAAAGUAGACUGUGACUUCAACUGGGCAAUGCUCAAUUACAUGGUAGAAGAGGGUCUGUGGGACAAAGAGGUGGAAAUCAAGGAAGACCCCCCUGGCAGAGGUGGAACUGAGAGAGGAUGCCAACCCAGAGAGGAGACAGAGGGCAAAUAUGGAAGGCACUAUUGGUUGCCUUCCCACAGCCAAUCCCCUUUUCCUCUUUCCAGGAGCAAGGUGCCCAGACACAAGGAUGGUCCAAGCCAUUCAUGGAAAUGCCUUCUUCUUUGCCAACUGGGUCCCUCCUGGCUCCUCCCAGCAACUCAGAGCUAUAAGUGAAGAUGUCAGCACCUUGGACAGCGCCCAACCCAUUACAGGACUCUGAGCCAGCGGAAGCUAAGCUCUCCGACUCCCUUAGCCUCUGGGUGAUGGAUUUCCUCGUUUCUCAAUUUGAUUAAAGCCCAGUAGAUAACCA
This is a long non-coding RNA of Camelus dromedarius (Arabian camel), 594 nucleotides long. RefSeq lists it as uncharacterized. NCBI's taxonomy places the organism in Eukaryota, Metazoa, Chordata, Mammalia, Artiodactyla, Camelidae. The transcript is spliced from 2 exons. The record is from RefSeq and is a predicted model, not a curated record.